RNAcentral lists this unclassified non-coding RNA (398 nucleotides) under uncultured bacterium. RNAcentral describes it as "contains 16S-23S intergenic spacer region". The record is from RNAcentral.
UCCGGCUUGUCGCCGGCGGUCCCUUUAGAGUUCCCACCAUUACGUGCUGGCAACUAAGGACAAGGGUUGCGCUCGUUGCGGGACUUAACCCAACAUCUCACGACACGAGCUGACGACAGCCAUGCAGCACCUGUGUUCCGAUUCCCGAAGGCACUCCCGCAUCUCUGCGGGAUAGCAGUGUUUCCACCGCCGUUAACCGGCCGUUCGAGCCCAGGUAAGGUUCUUCGCGUUGCGUCGAAUUGAACCACACGCUCCACCGCUUGUGCGGGCCCCCGUCAAUUCCUUUGAGUUUCAGCCUUGCGACUGUACUCCCCAGGCGGCAUAUUUAACGCGUUAGCUCCGGCACAGAUCAACUGAAUGACCUACACCAAAUAUGCAUCGUUUAGGGCGUGGACUAC